ACUCCCUUAGUAUAAUCAAUACAACUNACUUC
RNAcentral lists this transfer RNA (32 nucleotides) under Rattus rattus (black rat). RNAcentral's name for it is "partial tRNA-Gly". Lineage: Eukaryota; Metazoa; Chordata; Mammalia; Rodentia; Muridae. The record is from RNAcentral.